UAAAAGGAACUACGAAACUGGUUUUCAUAAUGAUUUGACAGAUUGUUUUGUAUUCUGAGAUCAUUGUGAAAGCUAAUUUUGUUCCUGGUA
Molecule: microRNA precursor, 90 nt
Filed under: Bombyx mori (domestic silkworm)
Lineage: Eukaryota; Metazoa; Arthropoda; Insecta; Lepidoptera; Bombycidae
Description: bantam stem-loop (bmo-bantam)
Gene: bmo-bantam
Rfam family: bantam microRNA precursor family
Source: miRBase by way of RNAcentral